AUGGGGAAGCGGGAUAAUCGGGUGGCCUAUAUGAACCCAAUAGCAAUGGCCAGAUCAAGGGGUCCAGUCCAGUCUUCAGGGCCAACGAUACAAGGUUAUCUGAAUCGACCAAGGCCCACAUGGGAAGAAGUGAAAGAGCAACUAGAAAAGAAAAAAAAGGGCUCGAAGGCAUUGGCUGAAUUCGAAGAAAAAAUGAAUGAGAACUGGAAGAAAGAACUAGAGAAACAUAGGGAGAAACUGUUAAGUGGAAGUGAGAGCUCAUCUAAAAAAAGACAGAGAAAGAAAAAAGAAAAGAAGAUAUCUGGUAGGUAUUCAUCUUCUUCAUCAAGCUCUGAUUCUUCCAGCAGUUCUUCAGAUUCUGAAGAUGAGGAUGAAAAACAAGGAAAAAGAAAAAGAACCGUUCACAUAAAUCUUCAGAAAGCUCCAUGUCAGACACAGUCAGACAGUAAGGAUAGUUUUAAGAAGAAAAAGAAGUCAAAGGAUGCAACUGAGAAAGAAAAGGACCUGAAAGGACUUGGCCAAAAAAAGAAAAAUGUAUACUGAAGAUAAACCUUUAUCAUCAGAGUCCUUCUCAGAAUCUGAUUAUACUGAGGAGGUACGAGCAAAAAAGAAGAAAAGCAGUGAAGAACGAGAAAAAGCAACAGAAAAAACAAAGAAGAGAAAGAAGCAUACUAAGAAAAAGAAGAAAGGCUGCUAGUUCAAGUCCUGACUCGCCAUAA
Chrysochloris asiatica (Cape golden mole) is the source of this 719-nucleotide RNA transcript. It is a transcript of the gene named protein FAM133B-like, with no coding region annotated. NCBI's taxonomy places the organism in Eukaryota, Metazoa, Chordata, Mammalia, Afrosoricida, Chrysochloridae. The transcript has a single exon. The record is from RefSeq and is a predicted model, not a curated record.